This 759-nucleotide long non-coding RNA is filed under the name Piliocolobus tephrosceles (Ugandan red Colobus). Its description in RNAcentral is "lncRNA (ENSPTEG00000007119.1)". The record is from RNAcentral. Lineage: Eukaryota; Metazoa; Chordata; Mammalia; Primates; Cercopithecidae.
CGUGUAUUUUUUCUUCUUUUUUAUUAUAAUACUUUAUAGAAAAACCAUACCAAAGUGAAAAUACAUCUAGUAGAAGUUACUAUUCCAAAAAUACACAGAACAGCCAAAGUUAUGACCAAUCUGAUGAUUUUAACGAUUUUCAUCGAGCUUUUUACGAAGAAGUUCGUAGAAUGAGAGAAAAUGAGAAGAAAGAACAAUAUAGAGUAAAUUUUUAUUUUAUUUAUUUUUAUUAUUAUAAUACUCAUAACUAAAAUUAUUCUAUUUUAAUUUGUUUUGUUCUGUUUACUUAUUUCUUAUGUUUUUUUUUUUUUUUUUUUUAUGCAGAGAUACGCAAAUAAUACGAACAGCUACUCAUUCAAUGAUUUUGUCCAUAAAUAUGCUAGGGAAUACUUUUAUAUAAAUUUAAUUUUUAAAUUAUUCCCCCUAUUUGUAGUUCCUUUUUUAUUUUUUUUUGUUGUAUAUAAGCAUUACAUUUUGAAAGCACACUUGAGGGAAAAACCUGUACUCCUGUAUGAUUCUUAUGGUAAAAUACAAAAAUGAAUUAAUAUGUAUUACCAUUUAUUAAGAUGAAACUAUUAUAAAUAUGCAAAAAUACUACUUAACAUGCAACACCAAAAGAAAAAAGUUUUAUAAAUUAAUUUUUUUUUUUUUUUUUUUUAACAGGAAGAGCUUAUUUGGUAGAUAUGCAAGGAAGAAAAUUUAGGUAAAAUAUAUUAAAAAAAAAUGCUUUGUAAUAAAUGUGAUGGCACUAUAUAGACA